Ictalurus punctatus (channel catfish) is the source of this 3084-nucleotide long non-coding RNA. The record is from Ensembl. NCBI's taxonomy places the organism in Eukaryota, Metazoa, Chordata, Actinopteri, Siluriformes, Ictaluridae.
UAUUAUAAUGUGGUCUGAGUUGACACGUGGAGCACAGAAAAGAUAAUGUAUAAUGAGAUUAAAGGAGAAGGAAUAGGUCAUACUGGUGUAACUAAGCUCGCUGGGAUGUGACCGUGUGCACUUGUACAGGCUACAGUCCUUGUCUUAUAUUAACAGGUGGAUAUUUAUUUGAACCUUUGAUCUGGUUCAGGAAGGACAAAGAUGUGGACAGUAGUAUUCCCAAAGGACAUGUAUACAGUAGACUUGAAGGAGAAGAAGCUCCUUGAGGAGAAGGAAAAUGGAAAGGAGGCCACUAAUGGAAAGGAAAAUGAGGAGAACGGAGAGCCUGAGAUUGAUGAGGAAGAGGAGGAUGAAGUAGACGAAGAAGACGAGGAGGAAGAUGGAGAGGGAGAUGAAGAUGAGGAGGAGGACGAGGAGGACGACCUGGGCGGAGGAACGAAACGAGGGGCUGAUGAGGAUGACGAGGACGAUGAGGACGAGGUCGACCCGAAGAAACAGAAGACGGACGACGAUGAUUAAAAGGAUUGUUGGAUGCUACUGAUCCGGUGUAGAGCUCAUCUUCAGCACAUUUGUUGGAGCCAGUGGCAUAAAGGACUCAAACAUCAAACAUGGUCAUUUUUUCCCCCCCAAGUUCCUGCGUCUCACCCACUAACCCCCAAUGCAAAAUUUUCUAGAGGGAAAAGUCCACCACCCAGAUCCCCAACACGACGACAAAGUUCACAAGACGAGGAUUUGUUUGUAUUUUUAUUUACAUUUUAUAUUUUUGUACAUAUUGUUAAGGGAUCAGUCACUUGAUCGUGAUCUCCUGUGACCAAAACGGUGCUUCUUUAUGAAAUUUUACUUGUUUGACCAUGUCUCGCAAACUUUGGAAACAGAAACAUUUAUAAAAAAUAAUAAAAAAAAUUCAGCCAUUUAACUCUGAGCAUUCCAGUCAGAUUUUAUGUAUGAACUUUAGUUGUACCAUAAACUAGUUUUGUUUCGUUUUUGUUUUGUUUGUAUGGGAGGGCUAGGCCAAAGAAAAGGAGUUACUUUUCUUAUUGUUUUUCGUUUGCAUUUGUUUUACCUUGGCCUGUCUGUGUGUGUGAAGUUUGUUCAACAAUAAACCUGACUUUUAUUUUGUGAGUUGUACUUGACCUCUCUGUUUCCUUUGGUACAUCUCUGCUACCAGAAGCUUGAGUUCAAUUCACAGGACUGCUCGAGCAUCGCUUAAGAUCUUCACUAAAGCUAGUUUAGAAAGCCUGCAAUGUUGAUCUUAAUGUCAUCUGCUGUGCCUUAAAUUAUUAGUACUCAAUACAAGCAUGUAUGGGGAUGCUUAUUAUUGGGUUAAAAUAUGGAUAUAAUGUCUCUGGGUCAUGACCUCUACUGUAAAAUGUAAAAAGUUAAGGAAAAAAGGAUAUGGUGUACGGAGAUCUUUUGUGAGGAGUUUUGUGUUGGAAAUUAGAGCAUCGCACACAUGUUUGUGUUUGGGGAUGUAUUAAAUAUUUGAAUUUUGUUAAAGAUCAGUGCCCAAUAAAAUAAAGUACAUCAUAGCAGUUUUAAGAACAAGGAUGGCCUGUCGUUGACAAGUCCGAGAAUGACAUGGAAGACAGCAUGAUGAAGAAUUUAUUCUCUAGUCAAGGAAACUGUUUGGAUGAUGGCGCUGCACUGGGUUCCAUUAUCGGUUUGCGUUAAAUGCAUCAACCAUGAAGCACCUUGUGCAAUGUCUGAACUUACACUAGUGCCCACAUGUCAGCUCUGCUUAUUAAAAAGAAACAACUGUAACUUGAUCACCAUUCGUCCUCGUUAACAAUUGAUCAACUUCUCAAUGUCUGGUGAAGUUGACCAAAGUGCAGUGAAGCCUGUAUCAUGCGAAAGGUAAAGUGGAAAUCUGCUCUGAAUAUUUGAGAUUCAUCUUUAUAAUUAACAUGAUCUUGAACUUGAUUCAAGAUAGACUUUGUAAUGAAAUGUUUUUAUACAUCAAUUUUUAAUCGUUAUAACGCCGUUCGCCUACCUACUUAUAGCGUUGCACUGGGAUUUAGCUGUUGCAUCAUCAUCUCUACAUAAAGAGAGUGAUGCAGCGGCGCUUUAGUCCGUCCAGAUCUGUGCACUCUGCUCGAACAGAUCAGCUUCCAAAGUUUCAACCGUCAUAUUAAUACCGCCAUUAACACAUCACAUGGUGUAAAUGAGAUCACUGAAGUUUUUUUUAUUAACAUUACCGUUAAACACCACUGUAACUAGCAAAAGCAGCGUCCCACUGUGACAUCAGUGCGGCACACAACGCCUAACUUUUCACCAGAAUAAUGAAAAUACAGCAACAAUUAAGAAAUCAGCACCAGAAUCACUAAUUCAUUUUCUUUCAAGCACCAGACGCUUAACCUUAAAGCCCCACGUGUUAAAGAGUUCGCCUCCCUGUUUUGAUUGGCAGUCUGAAGCUGCCUGAGAGCUGGAUUUCACCGCAAUGACACUGCUUUAGUGAAGGGUGUGUGCUCCUGCUGUGCAUAGGAUGCACUCAGAAAAGCUGUCUAAACUAAAACGAGCUCUGUGGAGUGUGCGUGUGUGUGUGUGCGUGUGUGUAUUGACUGUCUGACCCGGGACUCUGAUGUCAUGUCUACAGGGGUGUGUGUGUCAGGCAUAAGAAUUAAGAGCUAGCUGUGUUGACUAGAAUAACUAGUAUGUGUUUGAGUGUCUGGAGCUGGUUGAGUGAUAUGAUAUACCACAUAUAUAGUAUGGCUGGUUGGACUCAUUUUUGUGAUUUGAGCAUGACCGUAGACCCAUAAAAACUCCAAAGCAGCAUAAGCAGCAUACUAAUUAGCCCUAUAAACACUCCACAGUGUUCUACACUAGCAUUGCGAAUCUCACGGCCACACAACUGCAUGCUGUGUGAUUUCUGUUAUCAUGUCAUCUGUCAUCUGCUUACUCUUUCAAUUUAACCAAAUCCUAGGUCCCCAAGACCACACACAUACACACACACAUGCACAAGUCUCUGUCAUGCACUUUUGUCUAGCUUUUAAAAAGAAGGAAAAAGUUAAUGCAAGAACUGAAAUGUUAGUAUGUAAAGGUUCAGAACUGAAGUGUUCUUUUUGUUGCACAAACUAAGAUACUAAG